GGGUGUGGCCUAAUGGUAAGGCAACGGACUUUGACUCCGUUGAUGCAGGUUCAAUUCCUGCCACU
This 65-nucleotide transfer RNA is filed under the name bovine gut metagenome. It matches the Rfam family "tRNA", at positions 5 to 66 of the family's 71-position model. From Rfam's summary of the family: Transfer RNA (tRNA) molecules are approximately 80 nucleotides in length. Their secondary structure includes four short double-helical elements and three loops (D, anti-codon, and T loops). The record is from RNAcentral.